GAUGAACGCUAGCUACAGGCUUAACACAUGCAAGUCGAGGGGUAGCAGGGUAGCAAUACCGCUGACGACCGGCGCACGGGUGAGUAACACGUAUCCAACCUUCCCAUAACCCGGGGAUAGCCUUUCGAAAGAAAGAUUAAUACCCGAUAGUACUUUAUUAAGGCAUCUUACGAACGUUAAAGAUUUAUUGGGUAUGGAUGGGGAUGCGUUCCAUUAGAUAGUUGGUGAGGUAACGGCUCACCAAGUCUUCGAUGGAUAGGGGUUCUGAGAGGAAGGUCCCCCACAUUGGUACUGAGACACGGACCAAACUCCUACGGGAGGCAGCAGUGAGGAAUAUUGGUCAAUGGGCGAGAGCCUGAACCAGCCAAGUAGCGUGAAGGAUGAAGGUCCUAUGGAUUGUAAACUUCUUUUAUAGUAGAAUAAAGUGAACCACGUGUGGUUUUUUGUAUGUAUACUAUGAAUAAGGAUCGGCUAACUCCGUGCCAGCCGCCGCAGUAA
RNAcentral lists this ribosomal RNA (498 nucleotides) under uncultured bacterium. RNAcentral's name for it is "partial 16S ribosomal RNA". It matches the Rfam family "Bacterial small subunit ribosomal RNA", at positions 28 to 523 of the family's 1533-position model. The record is from RNAcentral.